AUACCAUGGUGUGGGUAUUUCCUAAGCAAUGACUUGAAGCGUUCCCAUGCUUUGUAUAAUGUUUCACCUUCAAGUUGCUUAAAAUUAGCAAUGUCAUGCCUUAAUUG
Molecule: non-coding RNA, 107 nt
Organism: Gossypium hirsutum (cotton)
Lineage: Eukaryota; Viridiplantae; Streptophyta; Magnoliopsida; Malvales; Malvaceae
Source: Rfam